UACGGGGGGAGCAAGCGUUGUUCGGAUUUACUGGGCGUAAAGGGCGCGUAGGCGGCCACGACAAGUCAGUUGUGAAAUCUCUGGGCUUAACUCAGAACGGUCAACUGAUACUGUCGGGCUAGAGUGCAGAAGGGGCAACUGGAAUUCUCGGUGUAGCGGUGAAAUGCGUAGAUAUCGAGAGGAACACCUGCGGCGAAGGCGGGUUGCUGGGCUGACACUGACGCUGAGGCGCGAAAGCUAGGGGAGCAAACGGG
Molecule: ribosomal RNA, 254 nt
Filed under: uncultured bacterium
Lineage: Bacteria
Description: partial 16S ribosomal RNA
Rfam family: Bacterial small subunit ribosomal RNA
Source: RNAcentral